RNAcentral lists this ribosomal RNA (460 nucleotides) under uncultured bacterium. RNAcentral's name for it is "partial 16S ribosomal RNA". It matches the Rfam family "Bacterial small subunit ribosomal RNA", at positions 338 to 795 of the family's 1533-position model. The record is from RNAcentral.
CCUACGGGGGGCAGCAGUGAGGAAUAUUGGUCAAUGGGCGCGAGCCUGAACCAGCCAAGUAGCGUGAAGGAUGACUGCCCUACGGGUUGUAAACUUCUUUUAUAAAGGAAUAAAGUGAGUCACGUGUGCCUUUUUGUAUGUACUUUAUGAAUAAGGAUCGGCUAACUCCGUGCCAUCAGCCGCGGUAAUACGGAGGAUCCGAGCGUUAGCCGGAUUUGUUGGGGUUAAAGGGAGCGUAGAUGGGUUGUUAAGUCAGUUGUGAAAGUUUUGGGCUCAACCGUAAAAUUGCAAUUGAUACUGGCAGUCGUGAGUACAGUUGAGGUAAGCGGAAUUCGUGGUGUAGCGGUGAAAUGCGUAGAUAUCACGAAGAACUCCGAUGGCGAAGGCAGCUUACUAAACUGCCACUGACAUUGAUGCUCGAAAGUGUGGGUAUCAAACAGGAUUAGAUACCCCAGUAGUC